AUGGCAGCAGUGCUGUGCGUGUCUUUCCUUUGGCUAGAGUUAGCAUGCCGUGCUGCUCUUAAGCACUCAGAUAUGGGAAGGAUACCUCCCUCUCAGAAUCCUGUGCAGAUUACCAAACAUAGUGAAUCUGUGAGUGAUAAGAGCCUGACACUCCAGGCCCCUGUCUCACAGACAACAGUUGAUGACUUAGGAAGAGAGAGCUCCGACAGUGAAAAUAACAAUGUAGCAAACAAGGUAGCAGUGCCUAGUCAGCCACCCCCCACAUACCCGUGGGAUGACCUUAGAGGACCUCUAGACAAUAACUCAUGCAAGGUCAUCCCAUCUGCACCCAGUGAGGAUCCCCACAUUUGUGUCAGUACUCGGACACCCCAAGCUCUUAGGGCAGCUGCUAGACCCAUCCCACCUGCUACAUUUGCUGUUAAUGUAGGAGAGAAUGCAGAAUUCAGGCCCUGGAUUCCAACACCUGUAAAUGACCUUACCAUGCUAAAAAAGACUUCUCAAGAGUCAGGUCCUGACUCUCCCUACUUUGAACAAGUGCUUAAACAAUGGACAGCAAACCUUCAAACUCAUUUUGACUGGGUUGCACUGCUCAAAGCAUGUUUGUCGAGACCACAGUUUUUACAGUGGAAAGCCUCCUAUCAGGAAGAGGCUGAAACUGUGGCAAGAAAUAAUGCUGCCUAUGGAAUAGCAGUAACCUUUAAUAUGCUUACAAGCCGUGGCACCUACAUAUAUCUUCAAGAACAGGCCCACAUUGGAGUAGUUGCCUAUUUUUAUCAGGUUAGAGAUAUAGCAAUUAAAGCCUUAAAAAAUAUGAAUCCUCCCUUUCAAUUCUUGGGUUAUCAAAUCUCCUCACAUAUAUCUACAAUGGGCCCAAAUGUAAAAGUCAAACAUAAAUACUCACUUAAUGAAUUUCAGCAACUAUGUGGCCAAAUCAAUUGGCUGAAGCCCUUCCUUCCCCUAACACCUGCAGAACUUAGACCACUAUAUUAUUUACUAAUGGAUACAGCCCUUCUUCAAAAAUCACAUUGA
RNAcentral lists this long non-coding RNA (1029 nucleotides) under Oryctolagus cuniculus (rabbit). RNAcentral's name for it is "lncRNA (ENSOCUG00000039422.1)". Lineage: Eukaryota; Metazoa; Chordata; Mammalia; Lagomorpha; Leporidae. The record is from RNAcentral.